UUUGGUCGCCACGAAGGCGUGAAAAGGGAAUGCCGUGAGAGUCGGCAACAGUCCCGCUGCUGUGAGCUUCGAGAGUCGAGUUUCGAAGAUGAAAGCCACUGUGUUGCGCAAUAGCGGCAAUGGGAAGGCUGGAACCCGACGGGGCGAGUCAGAAGACCUGCCAAGUCACA
RNAcentral lists this non-coding RNA (170 nucleotides) under bovine gut metagenome. The record is from RNAcentral.